RNAcentral lists this long non-coding RNA (10436 nucleotides) under Triticum aestivum (bread wheat). Its description in RNAcentral is "long non-coding RNA (TAES_LNC025066)". Lineage: Eukaryota; Viridiplantae; Streptophyta; Magnoliopsida; Poales; Poaceae. The record is from RNAcentral.
UGUCGUUCAGAUUCAGAAGCCCCUGUUGCAUAUGUUUCGACAGUGCGUUGGGGGGCACUUACACGAGCUCUUGGGGGAGUCCCCGUAGGUGUAGAGCUGGUCCGUGUAGUUGUUGAUGGCCCCGACGACGCACAUCCCCUGCUCCCCGCGUGAGUUGUGGCAAUCCCCUGAAAUUCACACAGCCACAUGAGCCCACGAUCAAAAACCCAACACAAACUUCAACACUUUAUGCCUGACUCUUCUACUAGUGUCUGCUACCACACUGCCUAAUCAUCUUGUGAAAUUUUUUCACUUGCUAGUCUAUUCAUUUGGCGACCGCACGUAAUAUAUCCACUAAUAAUGCCGUCGCAUAUAUAUAUAUAUAUAUAUAUAUAUGCUUCAUUAAUAAUAAUAUAGUAUUCCCUCCGUAAACUAAUAUAAAAGUGUUUAGAAUACUAAAGUAGUGAUCUAAACACUUUUAUAUUAAUUUACAGAGGGAGUAGGUUAGUAUGUGGUCACAUCCAUUCCAUCAUCAUCCAUGUGACCAUGUGACUGUGAUCGCCGGCGUCCGUCCGUCCGUCGCGCUCGCUCGCGGGCAAGCCCACAUGCCUGCCGCGCAGCGAAAGAGAACAAGCACAGCGAUAUUCUGUUGUCGCCCGAUCAGAUCAGAUGGCAGCAGAUCGGCCUCACUUGCCCACGUGCAGUUCUUCCUUUUUUUGAGGGAGUGCAGUUAUUUAGGUGAUCUGAUGAGAUGGAGGAACACUGUCUGCUCUGCUCUGACGAAAACGAUCGGUGGAAUCGUGUCGGGGGAUGCGUGAAGCAAGCAAACUAAUUAGGCUCAGAGAGUGGGAGAACCCUUUGUCUUGACUCAACCUCUCCCCUCCCCAACAAGCAACAUCGCCGGUUGGUCCCGGAUCACAAGAUGGCAUAUAUGCGAUAGGCAUGUGCAAGCAAUGGAUCUGCCGAUACCUCCCCCUCAUGCAUGCAACCAAUCUUAUCUCAAAACAAAAUUUCUUGUUAUAUUGUCCUACAAAUGUUUAUAUUCCUUUAUUCUUAAAAAAAACUCUUAUUUUCUCUUCGUUGUUAGCAAAUCCCCCGUCAGUCCGUUGUCUUUCUUCCCCCUUCCGUAAGGUAAGCCGGCGAGCACUUGUGGAUUCGCCUCCCCUCUGCCUGCUGCUCCGGGCGCUCGGUGGCGGGGAGGAGAAUCCUGGUACCUCGGCUUCUGCUAGUAGAUAAGUUAGGGUUUUAGUCCACGCAGGACGCUCGGAUGGAUGACGACGCUUCUUCGAGUCGGUCUUUCGGACAUUGAUCCUCCUUCAGUUCGUCUAUCGGGACGGAUUAGAAGGAGCGCCGGUGUACACUCAUGACAGCUUCUCGAGGCAGCGAGGUUAGUGUUUGUCAUUGUGUGUACGCGACGACGAGAUUUGGUGUUAGGUUUUUUAUAGAUCAAUUAAAGGGAUCAACGACGACGACUACGGCUCCAUGGCACUGGUCCUUGGGGUAGGUGUACGAAACUUCCUGGCCAUCAUCAAUAAGGUCAAGCCGACUCCGGUAUGGGAGCGACGACAACAGGGCAUCGGUGGCUCGUUCUGACGGUAGCAAUGGUCGUUCGGUGGUUCAGAGACCUCAUUGUAUUUUUAAAAUCAUAUUGGUUUUUUUUGUAUUUUUGAUAAUUUUUUUUAUAAUAGAUCUAAGUCUUUUCGGCCAAAAAAAAAAGCUGAAUGUGUGACAAUACUAGUGCAUUUUCCCGGUGCAUUUGUUUCGCCGUUUUGCUAAUUCCAUGUCGAUGUUUUUUCCCCUGUAAAUCUCAACCCUCUAAAACUGCGCAUUCGGUAGACUUACACUAAGCUAUAAAUACAAUUUCAAUAUUCCUACACGAAAAAGGGUAGGCACAUAAUUGUCUUACAAUGAACAUCCUAGACAAUUGUUGAAUAUCAAAGUCAUUGGUUUAUCUGGACAUGUGUAUUUUUUUAAAGACUAUAUGCGUUGUCAGAAAAUAGAAAAGCAUUUUCUUGUUGGUUUAGCAUGCGGUAACUAGUCAUGGCGUUAAUUAAGCUCUGUUCGGUUUGCAUCAGAAACCAUAAUUGAUUGAACUAGAAAGGUACUACUAGGAAAGAGGGGGGGAGUAGGAUGAACUGACGGGAGAAGUUGAAGUUGCAGACGUUGGGGGUGUUGGCGUAGUGGAGCGGGCUGGCCCAGUGGUAGCGGAAGCGCAUGGUGUCUGCCCACGGGCACAUCGUCGACAGCUCCCCGCCCGCCGACUCCGGCAGCAGGUCCUGCACCGCCGCCGCCGCCUCCUCCGACAGGUACUUCUCGGCGAUCUUGCAGACCAUGAUGUGGCCCUCCUUGCCCCACGCGUCGGCGCGGCGGGGCGCGGAGGCGGCGAGCAGCGAGACGAGGAGCAGCAGCAGCGGCUGCGGGCGCGGUGCCGCCAUCUCCUCCCCUCUGCUCUGCUCUGCUCCGCCUCCUUGCCCUACUCUGCUUCUUGCGCCGUUGACGGAGGAAGGGGGCAGGGGAGCUGGGUCCUCUGCCUCUUUUUCUUUUCUGCUGGUCGUCUUGGGAUGGGGAAGUUGCUUCGUGUUUGGGCUUCCUUUAUGUACUCCGGGUCUCGCAGGCCGCAACGUGACGUAUAAUUUGGUGGCACGACGGUCUAACAGGGCCGGGCUGAUCGUGGCCCAGAAGAACUCUAACAGAGAGAGUCCAUAUGCUGCAUUUUGAAUUUUGCAAUUUUAGUCACGAGUUUAGGAGCUCAAAUUAUGAAGCUCACAACUUAGCGAAGCAUGCUCUAUCUUUCGGUGGUGGCCGCCAUGUUUGGUUAGGACACCCCGGGAAUCUACCAUUCGUCCCUGUAAAUAUCGUGACGAAUUAAUAAAGCUUCGCAACGUUGCCUAUUUUUUCUUUGAAGGCUGGCGACGAGAUGUGCAAACUCAGUGCUGCAAUAUCCCAAUCUCCAUUUUUCUAAAAAAAAAAUUGGAAACCUCAAUGUCCAUAAUGUUUUUUUUCUUUUGUUCAAAUACUUUGAUUGCCUUUAAAAUCAAACGUUUUUUCACACAAUUCGAAAAGCAAUCAUGCACAUAACUUCGAAAAAAUUGCAUAAACAAAAAUAUCUAGCCGACGACAUGUACAAAUCACGUGUUGCUCGUGUGUGCAUCGGCCCCCGUCCUCAACAUGUGCACCGCCCCCUCCUCUGGCGGACCUAGAGUGCAUGAUUGGAUUGCCAUUUGUGUCUUCUUCAAAAAUUCUCUCAACACUAAAUCUAAGGAGCUCGCAUCCAACAUGAUGAAUUGGUUCUCCUUGGCUAUCUGUUCAGUUGUGGCUCGACGCUCCUUAAUUUUGAGCCUAUGCGCCUCCUUCUUCUUAUCAAUUCGUCUUCCGUCUUGCAUAGCAUCCCACCUUGCCCUCCUCUCUUGAGGUCUUCUUCUCCUCCAUCUCCACUUUUUAUUGUGUAAUCUUCUCCGCAUGCUCAUUCCUUGUCCUCAUCAAGUCUCAGAUUUUUUUUCAUUGCACAUUUGCUAAAAAAAUUCACGGUCACCUCGCAUUCAAUCAAACAAGCCGAAACAAAGGUAAAGGAUGCCUUUUUACCUCAUUGAGACGUUUCUGGUCCGACAUUGGACUCGGAAGGUGUCGAGUUUCACCCGCCUUCGGAAUGAAGGAAGAAGGGGAACACCACAACCCGUCUUCUUCUUCCUUUUCAUUGAAGGCCACUGCGGUACAAGCAGGAGGAGGAUGACACCUACAUGCGGUGGCAUAGGGUUUUUCACCUAUGUGCCCGACUCGCCAUCGGCAUUGGUGGACGAGAUACUGGCAUAGGCGGUGGAGGGAGGCCGUCGGAGGCGCAACACUUGUUGAAGUCUUGGGAUCCAACUCCAAACCAAUGGACUAGGACAUGGGGGUUGAGGCGGCGUCCAUGAUGUCGUCAACAUGGACUGGAGACGACCGGAAGUGGUUCCAGACGGCGCUACAAUAAAUGAGAGGAGGCAGCAACAUGGGUGGAAAGAGUUGGUUCUCUGCCCCUUUUUGGGGGGCAACCUUUCUUUUCUGUUGGUCUUCUCAUGACACGGGGAAGUUCCUUCUGAUUUGGGCUUCCUUUGUAUACUCAGGGGGUCGGGUCUUGCAGGCCACGAUGAAAUGUUGGGGAGCCCCAAUUUCGCACGUAGGACGACGAAUAGCCACCAAUGCGCACCGCCUCAACGCAUUUUGGGCCAACCAAUAUGGGGGCCGGGCACUCAUAUUUUUCAUCUUCUUUCAUUAUUUCCUUUGUAUUUCUUGUUUUUUACAAUGAGAACUGUUCAUGAAUCUCAAAUUUCAAAAAAAUGACCGGAAUUGUUAAUCUUAAUUUCAAAUAAUUCGCAAAUUUUAAAAAUGUUCAUAAAAUUUUAAAAAAUUCUUAUAAAUUUUAAAAAUGUUCAUGGACCUAACUCUCACCAUUUUUCUUAAAAAGUUAACCAAUUAAAAAAGAUUUCUGAUUCAAAAAUGUCCAUGAAUUUGAUAAUUGUUUGUCAAAUAUUUUUUCAUUAAUUUUAGAAAUUCUUCCCAAAUUUUUAAAAUGGUCAAGAUCUCAAAAAAUGUUUGCAAAGUUGUAGAAAAAGUUUGGAAAUUCGAAAAAUAUUCACAAUUUGAUAAAAUGUUCAUGAAUUAGAAAUUUUUUCAUGAUUUCUCAUAAGAUGUUCACGAAUUUUAAAGAUGUUCGAAAAUGAAAUAGAAAAUAAAAAUAAAAAGGAAAAUAAUAAUAAAAUAUAAAAGUAAUAAAAUAUAAAAAUUAGAAAAAAGGGAAGAAAAUUAAGAAGAAAACUUAAAAAUAGGGGAAAAUACGGCCUGAAUGGUUAUAUAACCUUUGCAAAUCGGAAGAGAGAGCAUGCUGUUACGGGUUAAAAAGGAACCACAAUUCUAUUUAUCGCAUAGGUCAGAGAAAAUUGACGAAACACAAAACUUCUGUCACGAGCAUGACGCGUCAAUUGGCCCGGCCCAUUCGCAUUUUGUCACCCUACCAGUUUUCCUUCCUUUUUUAUUUUAUUUUUCAAUUACGUUCUCACUUUUUAUUUUCAGUUUUUCACUUUUUAUUUGAAGUCAGAUAUAUUGUAAUUGUGUUUGAAUCUGUGAGCAUUUUUAGAAUUUAAUGUUUUUUUAAAUUGGCAUUUUUGUUCGAAAUUGACAAACAUUUUUUAAUCAAAAAAGUUUUUUAAUUCAUGAUCAUUCUUGAAUUAAAGAACUUCUUUUAGAAUUUGUGUGCAAUUAUUGCAAUUUUUUUUUGAAUUCGUGAACAAUUUUUUAAAUUCAUGAUAUUUGAAGUCGUAAAUAUUUUUAAAUCAUGGAGAUAGUAUGAUAUCCCGCACAUUUUUCAGAUUGUUGAACAUUUUUUAAAAUUUGGAAUAAUUUCCAAAUUCGUGAAGUUUUCUCAGGUACUGGCGUGUUAGGCUGGUCGCUCGCAUUGAUUAUCGGUUAUGUGUAUACACCCGUGGUUUAGAUGGCUUAGGUAGUGUGAUUAGAUAUAUGAAAAAAAAUUAAUUUGGUGCACCAUUUGUUCCAUAUAUAUUUCACAUUGAUUAUUUCCACCCAUUCUAUUGGAAUUGGCUCAGGAAACUGGAUGCACCUGCCACCAUGGAUCAUAGAAGGUUAGAUCAGCUGAUUUGUACUAUCUAAGUCCUGUUUCGAAGAAAGGUACAACUAAUUUAUAUCAGGUCACAAAUAAACAGCGACGCACAAAUGUAAAGGAAUGAAAGAAGUUGAGAGAAAAUAAAACGUGGCUUUGAACUUCACUUGUAGAUUGGUUAUUAUUGUUCAAGCAAACAGUCUAUUAUAGACGGUUGAAUUAUAUUACAACUUCACAACAAUUGAAUUUCAUGUUCGUUAAAAUUUCCGAAUAAAAUUUUAAAUAUUAUAGAAUUUUUUAGAAAGUAAGAAUUAUUUUUAAAAUAAUAAUUGUUUUAGAAAUUCACGAUUUUUUUUUGAAUGAACAUUUUUUAGAAUUCAGAAACAAUUUCUGAAAUUCAUGAACGUUUUUGAAUCGGCAAUGUUUUUUGAAAUUUGCAAACAUUUUUUAAUCAACAAACUUUUUUUAAAUUCAUGAAAAUUCUUGAAUUGAAGAACUUCUUUUAGAAUUCGUGAGCAAUUAUUGUGAAUAGUUUUUUAAUUCAGGAAUAUUUUUUAAAAUUCAUGAUUUUUUGAAUUCAUAAACAAGUUUAAAUCAUGGAAAGUUCAUGAAAUCCCAAUUUUUUUUCAAAUUGUUGAAAGUUUUUUGAAAUUGGAAUAAAAUUAAAUUUGGUGCACCAUUUGGCAAAAAAUUAAAUUAAUUUGGAAUUGAGAUAUAUGAAUAAAAUUAAUUUGGUGCACCAUUUGUUCCAUAUUGAUUUCACAUUUAUUAUUUCCACCCAUUCUAUUGGAAUUUGCUCAGGAAAUUGAAUGUACUCGCCACCAUGGAUCAUAGAAGGCUAGAUCAGCUGAUUUGUACUAUCUGAGUCCUGUUACGAAGAAAUGCACAAGUAAUUUAUAUCGGGUCACAGAUAAACAGCGGCGCACAAACGUAAAGGAAUGAAAGAAGUUGAGAGGAAAUAAAACGUGGCUCUGAACUUCACUUGUGGAUUGGCUAUUAUUGUUCAAGCAAAUAGUCUAUUAUAGACGGUUGAAUUAUAUUACAACUUCACAACAAUUGAAUUUCUGAGUGCUGUGCCAAGGCUUUGUGACUCUUAUUACAGAAUGGCAAACUUAUUGAAGCGGUAAUUUAUGAGAAACUGGCGUGGCAACGGCAGCUACAAUACCUUGCAGCCCCGUAUGUAUACACUUCAUGUACAAAGUAUAGCUCUUUUACUGUACGUAUAACGGCAUGGUAUCUGCUUUCUUCUUGUCAAAUAUACGGUUGAGUAUCAGCGCGAGUCUGACGCCGGCCUGUGCUAGUCUCUUCUCCACGACCGGGUAGCGGGUGAAGUAAUAAUCAUCUGCAUUUCGGAAGAGUUGGGUAACCAUCCAUGCAUUAGCGCUGCAUGUACUCUAGCCAGGCAGAACUCACAAGCACUGCUGUGAAUGUGGACACAUAAUCACGUACCUCCGAGGGUAAUGUUCUGCACCACAUCCUUGUAGGCGUAGUUGCAGGACAAGUGUAUGCUCUCGAUCGCGUAGCUGCAACGUGGAUUCGGUGCCAUACCAUGUCAAAUAUUGUGAUCAAAUUAGUUGCACACAGGACAUGAACUGAAAGAAAGUGCAAGUGUUUGGAUAUGAAUCCUACUCAUUUGCGCAGGUCGCCCUUUUGUUGGCGCAGUUCUCCCAGUGGCCGACAUCGUCGGACCAUCCUUCCUGCAGUUCACGGCUAGCAUUAGCAUUAGUGUUUCUUUUUUUUUUAAAGCAACAUGGCUUUAUUACUCAACGUGCGGGCAAAUCGCCCAUAACCCUAUAUAUUGAGUAUAAGAAUUAUUAGAAAGUAUAUGAUAGACUAGGAUUUGGUCCUGUCUUGUCUUGUACUUUAAAUUAGUCUUUGUACUCCUGUAUAUAUAUGCACACGAGGCUGAAACAAUACAAUCAACAAUAAUUUCAUUAAAUCUCUCUCUCCCUUCUAACAUGGUAUUAACCUAAUCGAUCCUAAACCCUAGCCGCCGCCGCUUCCGCACCCGCGCGCCGCCUUCGGGGCGGUCGGUCUACAUGACCGUCGCCGGGGGCCACGCCGCCCGUACCUAGGUUUCGUCCGCUGGUCGUGUUGACCGGCUGCCCUAAAGUCUUUUUCCCGAUCCCUUGCUUCGGGUUUCUCUCGCCGAUCGUUUUGAUCGGUGUCUAUUUUUUAGUUUUUCGAUCUAAAAUCGGUUUGUGUCGCCCGCCGUCAUCGUCGACCCUCGCACGCCUCCACUCCGACUUCGGCAUCGACUACACUAUCGUCUUCUCCGACUCACAGCCUUGCGUGCUACGCUGAGGCCCGGAACGGCCGCUGUCCACGCCUCCGUCCGCAUGUCGGUAUGCGCUGACAGUCGUCGCCUUGAUCCGAUCAGGGAUCCUACAUCAAGUCAACCUCCAUCCACUUCAAGCAGGAUCGGACGGGACAUACGUGCGUGGGUGCACCGGCUUUGCUCGCAUGGCGUGCGUUGCGCUAGCCCGAUCCGUGUUGUGUGCACACGUUGGCUGAUUGUUUGUAUAUACGUACAAAUCAACUUCCUGUCCAGCACGUGUGGUCUUUGCUUAGUUGCAUGCUCAUGUGACGCGACCGCUGCAGAACCCGUCGUCUCCGUCUUCGCGUCCAGUCACUCCAUCUUCAUUGCAUGUUUGGUCUGAUCAGUUGUAUACAUGCCUCAUCUACACCGUACGAUCGACCUGCCCGUUGGUGUCGCGCACCUUCGCAGGCCUCAUAAAAAACGUCCCGAGUUCAGCAUGCACCUCCACCGAUCGAGCAACGGGUUGCCGCUGCGUCGUCCCAUCGGGCCGCAACGCCGCCGUCCCGUGGUUUUUUUCCGGCUGCACCGACCCGCGUCACCGCUACGUCGCCCCUUCAGACCAUAGUGUCGCGGCCCGCGGUCCCAGCCACCCCGAGGUUGUAUGCUUCAGGCCGUCCCGUGGCUGCACCGACCCUCGCGCCGUCGCUGCGUCACCCCAUCCGGUCAUAGCGAGCGUGGCACGCGGUCCACGCCGCUGUCCUAAGAUCGUCCCCGCGGCUGCACCGACUCACGAACCGCCGUUGCGUCGCCCCUUCGGGCCGCAGCGUCGCGGCCUGCGGUCCCCGCCGUCGCCCCGACCCGCCUGCCGCCGCUACGUCGCCCCUUCGGGCCCUAGCGCCGCGGCCCGUGGUCCACUUCGUCGUCCCCGCGCGCCGACUUCCCGUGAUAUGCGCCGCGUCGUCUCCCUUGGCGCGAGAACGCCACUGUCUGCGCCGGUCUUCGUCACGCUGUCAGGAUUCUUCGCCUACUUCGAGCAUCGCCACCACGCUUCUAACCUAGCCGCCACUGCCGCCGCUCUUCUUCGGCCGCUGCCGCCGCUACCCUCGUAGCCGCCGCAGCCGCCCGUCCACCCCAUUUGUCUUCGUCCAGCUCCAGUCCGUCGCCAGCGUCGCUGUCAUCUACCCCGACCGCUUCAUUUACUCCGACAACCGUGGGCGACAUUGGCCCCGCGCCGAUUGGCCCGCAACCGUCGUCGAGUCCUUCUCUGCUGGCCUCUCCGACUUCUUCGACAUGGCGUAUGGCUCGUGCAAGUCCCAGUCUACGCAUGUCCGGUGUUGGCAACACCACCGCGUGCCUUCGUCCACGACGUGUCCUCGGGCCUGGCAAGCCUGGUGCCAGCGCAACGCGUCGUCAACAAUGUUUUCUUCCUAGCGCACCCCUACUUUGACACCACUGCGCCCAUGCUAACUCGGCGCCCCCUUGCGCCCGUGACUCCACGGUGACUUUCUCGACACCAGCUACCCCGACUCGACAUCGACCACGGUAUUCUUCGCACGGCUACCUCAAUCACGGCUUCACCACCCACGCUCUCGGCUACAUCGUCGGUUUUCACUCCAGCCACGGCUCCGCGAUGCAUCGGCCGUUACGACUAGGGGUGGGGUGGGUGGGGGGGGGGUCUGUUGGCUUACCUUCAGAUUCUUCUCCAGUCUUACCGUCUGCCUCGCUACCGUUGUGACUGCGGGGUGAUAUUGAGUAUAAGGAUUAUUAGAAAGUAUAUGAUAGACUAGGAUUUGGUCCUGCCUUGUCUUGUACUUCAAAUUGAUCUUUAUACUGCUAUAUAUAUGCCCAUGAGGCUCAAGCAAUACAAUCAACAAUAAUUCCACCAAAUCCAUCUCUCCCUUCUAACAAUUAGAAACACAAGAGAGCGGCCGGCAGUAUUUUGAGUUGUUGGCAGUCUAGUGGUGUGCUCACCGUGAGGUUCGUCUGGAGGGCGCCCACCAUGGUGUCCAGGCUCUUGUUGUAGAAGUCCUUCAUCACCGUGUCGAUGAUGCUAACGUCCCACACCUGCCAACACACACCAAACACUCCGAGAAGUUCAGUCCAGACCAAAAACCAUACCAGCUCUGAUGAACACGACUCCUGUGUGGCAGGGAUACACGUACGUGGUGGAGGUUGGCCUUCCUGCGGUACCAGCGCACCAUGAUGGUGUUGCCGCCCUCGUCCUCCUCGUAGCCGACGUGCAGCGGCUGGUGCACGUCGCCCACGAAGUGCGCCAGGAACAUCAGGCUCUCCGUCAGGUUGUCUGCGUUUCGAUGCGAGCCAAUGUUGUUAAGAAAUCAGAAUUGUUGCGUGUUCUGACAGGAAGUAAGCUCAUGGCACUUACAUGAACUCUUGGGAGAAUCCCCGUAGGUGUAGAGCUGGUCCGUGUAGUUGUUGAUGGCCCCGACGACGCACAUCCCCUGUUGCCCGCGAGAGUUGUGGCAGUCCCCUGAAAUUUACCCAGCCACAUGAAAUCACGCUUGGUUGAUGCUCAACGGUCAUAACAAUUGUGCCCGCCCGGGCCCGGCGGUUCUACCAGUCAGUGUCAGUCUCUGCUAGCUACUACAC